ACUAUUUUGGCAGAUAAGUGCAAUAAAUUUAGAAUUUAUGUAUAUAGGUUAAAAACUCUAUAAAUAGUA
Molecule: transfer RNA, 69 nt
Filed under: Chironomus kiiensis
Lineage: Eukaryota; Metazoa; Arthropoda; Insecta; Diptera; Chironomidae
Description: tRNA-Leu
Rfam family: tRNA
About the family: Transfer RNA (tRNA) molecules are approximately 80 nucleotides in length. Their secondary structure includes four short double-helical elements and three loops (D, anti-codon, and T loops).
Source: RNAcentral